UCCAUUCUUGGAAAGGUAGAUUUAGCCUCAAGUUGUUUUAGUCUCCAGGAGGCUGCCAGCCCCUCCUCUUAUUUAAUUCUGAGUUUUGGGGGACAGCCUAGAGGGAAUUCCUUUUUUUUUUUUUUUAAUAUAUCCACAUUCUAUUGAAACCUUGAAACUAAAAAUUUAGACUCUUAUCGUCAUCUUAAGUUCUUCAUGCUACUCUUAACCUCCCAAAAAGCAGUAUCUAAGUCACAUACAUGAUGUCUUGGGCAUUUUCUCUCUCAGCCAUGGAGAACUCUGAAAGGAAGAAUCGCUGCUUUUCUCAAGCAAAUCGGUUUCUUG
Molecule: long non-coding RNA, 324 nt
Filed under: Homo sapiens (human)
Lineage: Eukaryota; Metazoa; Chordata; Mammalia; Primates; Hominidae
Source: RNAcentral